This 351-nucleotide long non-coding RNA is filed under the name Haliotis rufescens (red abalone). Its description in RNAcentral is "uncharacterized LOC125383568". The record is from RNAcentral. Lineage: Eukaryota; Metazoa; Mollusca; Gastropoda; Lepetellida; Haliotidae.
AGUUUUUACAUAACUACGCAGUUACUUCCCUUCGGACCAACACGAUCGAAUUUACUACAGUGUUUUUUUAACAAUCCAGCUACAAUCCUCGCAAUUUGAAGCAGUAUAUCUGUUAGCAUGCCUGAUGUUGACUGGGGAGGUAUAUGUGCACUCAUGCAGAAGAAGUAGAAGUUUUCACAUCCAAUUUGGCAUUUAGAGAAGCUGAUCUGAAGUCCGGUGUUGGCAGUGUGUGAUUGACAACCCUUGUUUUGCCUCGCUGCGCUCUAUUACCUUGUAGAAAUUGUGGAACUUGGACAUGUUCUACUACACCAAAUCAGAACCAGUUGGGACACUGGGUUUUCGUAGGGAGCC